UGCAAAAUAUGUGUACUGCACAUGCGUCAACUAUAAUGCCUAAACUUUCUACGCGGUUCUAAUCGUCAAAAAAAACAAUUAUAAAUCCUGAAGGAUCAAUUAAUUGGUAUACAGUUUAAUUAAAAAAAUUUAAAACUAAAUAAAUGAAAUAAUGUGCAAACCAAACUGUUUACCAUCCACAUUUGAUUGUCGGGCAGAUAGAAAACGAAAAUUCACUCAAAGUGAACCUCGGCCUGCAUUUGUGAAACGGCAAAGACUCACUAAUACUCACUAUUAUCAAGAAGAUUGAAGAGAGGACUAAAAAUGAGAUGUGUCAUAUACCUUUGCCAUCUUGUAGUCAAGAUGUCCAGCCACUUGAAAAUAGGUGUAGUAAUGACAAAGCUAUCCAAGUAGCUCCAGCACAGGAACACAAAGGCAAGGCAAUUGUGUAUUGCCACAUCACCCCUUAAUAUAUCUGAAGCAAGUACAAGUAAACAAUCAGAACCAGCAAAAAGAAAACUGUUGUUCCUGAGGACAAAUUUGACAGUGAUCAGUCAAAUGCAGAAGGAUCAGCUGUUGAGAGUUAUCUCUCUAUAUCUCCACUCCAUCAAAGACUUGUGCACUUCAUUUAUUGAAAUUAAUAUUAAUGAAUAUUAAUUUAAAUUAUCGUGCGAAUUUUGUGGUCAAAACAUUUAAGUGUAUUUUAUAAAUAAAUAUUCAUUCUCAGUA
This is a long non-coding RNA of Bombyx mori (domestic silkworm), 708 nucleotides long. RefSeq lists it as uncharacterized. NCBI's taxonomy places the organism in Eukaryota, Metazoa, Arthropoda, Insecta, Lepidoptera, Bombycidae. The record is from RefSeq and is a predicted model, not a curated record. The transcript has 2 exons.